This 428-nucleotide ribosomal RNA is filed under the name Bacteroidota bacterium. RNAcentral describes it as "Bacteroidetes bacterium partial 16S ribosomal RNA". It matches the Rfam family "Bacterial small subunit ribosomal RNA", at positions 355 to 776 of the family's 1533-position model. The record is from RNAcentral. Lineage: Bacteria; Pseudomonadati; Bacteroidota.
UAGGGAAUCUUCGGCAAUGGGGGGAACCCUGACCGAGCAACGCCGCGUGAGUGAAGAAGGUUUUCGGAUCGUAAAGCUCUGUUGUUAAGGAGAACGAGUGUGAGAAUGGAAAGUUCAUACUGUGACGGUACUUAACCAGAAAGGGACGGCUAACUACGUGCCAGCAGCCGCGGUAAUACGUAGGUCCCGAGCGUUGUCCGGAUUUAUUGGGCGUAAAGCGAGCGCAGGCGGUUAGAUAAGUCUGAAGUUAAAGGCAGUUGCUCAACCAUUGUAGGCUUUGGAAACUGUUUAACUUGAGUGCAGAAGGGGAGAGUGGAAUUCCAUGUGUAGCGGUGAAAUGCGUAGAUAUAUGGAGGAACACCGGUGGCGAAAGCGGCUCUCUGGUCUGUAACUGACGCUGAGGCUCGAAAGCGUGGGGAGCGAACAGG